This is a long non-coding RNA of Contarinia nasturtii (swede midge), 1327 nucleotides long. RefSeq lists it as uncharacterized. The record is from RefSeq and is a predicted model, not a curated record. The transcript has 4 exons. NCBI's taxonomy places the organism in Eukaryota, Metazoa, Arthropoda, Insecta, Diptera, Cecidomyiidae.
AAUACGUUUUCAUAUUCUUGCGAGAUGAAAGAAAAAACGCUCUCAUUAGCGUUGUCUUUUGACAUAUUUUAUUAGUUUUUAUAUUGUAAUUUUUAAUUGGUAACAAUGGAAAUGUUCAAAUAAAUAAUUUACAGUGCUCAACUGUCUGUUCAUCGUUUAUUAAAUGCAAAAGGAUUAUGUGUACUCAAAAUAUAUGUCAAUAGGAAUAACCAACAGGUGGAUUGCAAAACGCUGCUUAACAAAAUGGUAUAUACCAUAGUGACGGCCUUCUAGAUUGGGAUUUCGUAUAUAUAUAGCGAGUCGACUUUUCGCCACACUAACCUCCCAUGUGAUAGCGUAGCACGAACAACGUUAUCAAUAGUUCACAAGGAAAUAGAUUCACACAAAGAAAAUUGGACUAGCCUGAGUCUUCAAACUACUCUUUCAAGUGGGAGUGCUGGACUCAUCUUUUUUGCAUUAUAUAUAUAAGCAAAACAUAAAUAAAUAAGAGGAAGUAUUUUUUUGAUUGGGCUACGACUACUACGGCACUAUUCGAUCAACUGAGUUAAGCUGCACAAGCUUUGGUCAGGAGAUAAAUGGGUGACCGUUUAGAAUAUCGUAUGUAGUCGUAAAAUACUGUGUCAACCGUCUCUGUGUACAACAAAGGUAUGGAUUUCAGCACAGACGCGUAAAAUAGAAAUCCAAUGCCAUAUAGAAUAUGGCAAAAUCAUAAAAAAAUGUAGGAUACAAUCGGCUGAUCACCGAUUCAUCUGAAUUCACUGAUCAACAGAAACCAGAAAGAUAAGAAUUCUUAUCUGAAGGCCCUAUGCUCCACUAGGAGUUAUAGGAAAUAAAAAAAGGAAUGAACCUAUACCAGAAUCGAAUGACUUGGGACAAAUUGGCAAAAAAACAACAGAAGCAAUGAAAAAUCGAUAUGGCAGUGAUUAUACCUGUGAAAAUUCUUACGACGAUUAUUUUUCUAUAUAGAUGUUUCGUCUGGCGAAAGUAUAGACUGGGUCUAUGGCGUUAAAAAGGUUCCACUUAUACGAUUGAACUACGCGAUAAAGGUGAACAUGCUUUCAUUUUACCUGCUGAUCAAAUCAUUCCAAAUGCCUUGGAAGUUCUAGACGGCCAAAAAGCAAUGGUGAAUGAAGCCAAAUCAUUGAACUACUUGUGAGCCUAUUCGUCACAUUUAACAAGAAGUCUUCUUCAAAACUUUUCAGUUCAUUCAAUUUUACCAUUAAGAAAAUAUUGACUAUUUUGUCAAAAUUUAUAAUAAAAAUAGAAUUAAGUUAUAGUAACACACUGUUUUGAUUUUCUGAGAAAAAAAAAUCUUUUUGAAAACGUC